RNAcentral lists this long non-coding RNA (339 nucleotides) under Populus trichocarpa (black cottonwood). RNAcentral describes it as "long non-coding RNA (PTRI_LNC000962)". Lineage: Eukaryota; Viridiplantae; Streptophyta; Magnoliopsida; Malpighiales; Salicaceae. The record is from RNAcentral.
CAAAACAGCACAAAACACACGAUAAGAAGAAUAACAACAAAAAGAAUCCAAGAGAAGAAAAAUGAAAAGAAUCCAAGAGAAGCAAGACUUACAGGACUGAUAGAUUGGUUCUUCCUCUUGAGUUUUUUCUUUGAAGGAAAGAGAGAGCUGUUUUGAUCAAAUAUAGAGGGUCUUAGCUUUAAAGGAAGAAAGGGAGCAACUGCCAGAGAGCCCAUCUCCAAUUCCUCUCUGCAAUUAGAUCUUAGCUCCGACUUAUGAGGCACCCCAGAAAAUUGGAAGGACGCUCUGCUAAAAUACUUGCAAAGUACAGUAUUAACUCUCUAAAGUCAGCAAAAAAAA